CUGUACGCCCCACGACAAAAUCACUCACGAUGACGGAGUGGCUGAGUCGAGUGGCAUACCAGGAGUCAAGCAUACCGAAAUCCAUCCACCCUUCUGUCUCCUUCGACCUUUUUCUUUUGAUGGUAUGUCAUGCAUGUUGUCUCGUAUAUUCUUUAGAUUCAAAGAUUUGUAUUUCACAUUAUGUGAAGGUAUGUUCGUAUGCCUCCCUGAAAGAUUUGGAUUCAUUAAAAAAUAGAAAAGCCUAGCAUUAAAUAUUAAUUUUCCUUAUUCAGUCUUACGUUUCACAAGUUGGUGUUAAUAGUGACAGGGAAGCCAAAUUUGAGCAUCAGGGAUUUUGCACAGGGGGUGAUGAUCCUGGAGAAAAAAAAAUGCGUUCUUCAUUUUGUUGCUGAUUAUUUGUAAAUAAGUAAACAAGGAGUUUUAGACUGGUUCAGAUAGAGAAUUUUUGGGUAUUUUUGACAUUGGAUUGUGUGGAGGUUUAAGAUUUUCGAUCGCAUAUGUUGGAUAGAAUAUAUUUAAGGUCACAUUCGGUUGAAAAUGAUGCUUUGUCUAAUGUAAGCAUUCAAGAAACUGUUAUUCGAAUUGUACCAAAUACCAAUCCAACUCUUGUAAUUGCCAUAA
This 621-nucleotide long non-coding RNA is filed under the name Olea europaea (common olive). Its description in RNAcentral is "long non-coding RNA (OEUR_LNC013207)". Lineage: Eukaryota; Viridiplantae; Streptophyta; Magnoliopsida; Lamiales; Oleaceae. The record is from RNAcentral.